UCUCUGACAUGCCAAACCGGUGAGUUGGCCUCAUUUUUUGAAACUACUAUACCUCAAAGAGUGGGUAUAGCCUACCACAUGGGAAGACUCAGUAUCCACCGACUGUCGAGUCUCUGCUGAGCUGGGGAAGAAGUCAGACCAUGAUUUCAGUCUAACUUUCACCUUGACAAAGCUUUUCAAAAUCAUGAACAAGCCUAAUAGUUGCUUAUGAAAAUUAGGGCAUGAAAAUUAAUCAUAACUGAGAGUGAGCAUAGGAACUCCCAUUGUACGGAGUAGGGUGCAGAAAUGGAGUGAAUCAAUGAAGCAGGAAGAGAAGGGAGGCUUCUGGCUCCUCAUUCUCCUCCCUACCUACUCACCACUGUACCUCCGGUUGUGUCACACAAAGUUGGCAUGGGUAGUGCAAGUCUAGGACAAGGACUUCAGUUCCUCCUUCUGCUUCUCCUCUUCCUCCUCCCUGGAAAACUGCUCCCUGCAUUCUCUGGGCACCCUGAAGAGUGAAGACCCAGGUGCUGGGCACCAUGCUGAAGAUUUCCUUCGGCAAACCAGUCUAACCAAGGGACAUGUAGCAAAGAAGUCCUCUUGCACAGCUCGUAAUGAAACAAGCAACAUCAACAGAUGA
Molecule: long non-coding RNA, 619 nt
Organism: Gallus gallus (chicken)
Lineage: Eukaryota; Metazoa; Chordata; Aves; Galliformes; Phasianidae
Source: Ensembl